This 395-nucleotide ribosomal RNA is filed under the name Klebsiella oxytoca. Its description in RNAcentral is "partial 23S ribosomal RNA". It matches the Rfam family "Bacterial large subunit ribosomal RNA", at positions 2259 to 2653 of the family's 2925-position model. Lineage: Bacteria; Pseudomonadati; Pseudomonadota; Gammaproteobacteria; Enterobacterales; Enterobacteriaceae. The record is from RNAcentral.
UGGUGGGUAGUUUGACUGGGGCGGUCUCCUCCUAAAGAGUAACGGAGGAGCACGAAGGUCAGCUAAUCCUGGUCGGACAUCAGGAGGUUAGUGCAAUGGCAUAAGCUGGCUUGACUGCGAGCGUGACGGCGCGAGCAGGUGCGAAAGCAGGUCAUAGUGAUCCGGUGGUUCUGAAUGGAAGGGCCAUCGCUCAACGGAUAAAAGGUACUCCGGGGAUAACAGGCUGAUACCGCCCAAGAGUUCAUAUCGACGGCGGUGUUUGGCACCUCGAUGUCGGCUCAUCACAUCCUGGGGCUGAAGUAGGUCCCAAGGGUAUGGCUGUUCGCCAUUUAAAGUGGUACGCGAGCUGGGUUUAGAACGUCGUGAGACAGUUCGGUCCCUAUCUGCCGUGGGCG